UUGUUCCGGUUUUGGUUCUUGUGUAGGUCGACAUCGAUUCGUUCCAAAUUUACACUCUCGGGGCACAAUAGAACAAUAUAAUUAGCUUUUACUCUUUGUUCGAUUAAAUGAGAAAAAGUACUCGUUUCAAAGUUAUACUGUUAGGGCGCAACUGAGUAGUCUUUUUUGUUCCGGUUAUUGUUCUUUUAAAGGUUGACAUCAAUUCGUUGCAUAUUUACACUCUCGGGGUAUAAUAGAACAAUAUAAUUAGCUUUUGCUCUUUGUUCGAUUGAAUGUUAAAAAGUACUCGUCGCAAAGUUAUACUGUUAGGGCGCAACUGAGUAGUCUACUUUUGUUCCGGUUUAGGUUCUUUUGAAGGUUGACAUCCAUUCGUUCCAUAUUUACACUCUCGCGGUAUAAUAGAACAAUAUAAUUAGCUUUACUCUUUAUUCGAUUGAAUGAGAAAAAGUACUCGUCGCAAAGUUAUAUUGUUAGGGCGGAACUGAUUAGUCUUUUUUUGUUCCGGUUUUGGUUCUUGUGAAGGUUGACAUCGAUUCGUUCCAAAUUUACACUCUCCGGACACAAUAGAACAAUAUAAUUUGCUUUUACUCUCUGUUCGAUUAAAUGAGAAAUAGUACUCGUUGCAAAGUUAUGCUGUUAGGGCGCAUCUGAGUAGUCUACUUUUGUUCCAGUUUUGGUGUUUUUGAAGGUUGACAUCCAUUCGUACCAUAUUUACACUCUCGCGGUAUAAUAGAACAAUAUAAUUAGAUUUUACUCUUUGUUCGAUUGAAUAAGAAAAAGUACUCGUUCCAAAGUUAUACUGUUUGGGCGCAACUGAGUAGUCUAUUUUUGUUCCGGUUUUGGUUCUUAUGAAUGUUGACAUCGAUUCCAAAUUUACACUCUCGGGGCACAAUAGAACAAUAUAAUUAGCUUUAACUCUUUAUUGGAUUAAAUGAGAAAAAGUACUCGUUGCAAUGUUAUACUGUUAGGGCGCAACUGGGUAGUUUUUUUUGUUCCGGUUUUUGUUCUUUUAAAGGUUGACAUCAAUUCGUUCCAUAUUUACACUCUCGGGGUAUAAUAGAACAAUAUAAUUCGCUUUUACUCUUUGUUCGAUUGAAUGAUAAAAAGUACUCGUUACAAAGAUAUACAGUUAGGGCGUAACUGAGUAGUCUACUUUUGUUCCGGUUUAGGUUCUUUUGAAGGUUGACAUCCAUUCGUUCCAUAUUUACACUCUCGCGGUAUAAUAGAACAAUAUAAUUAUAUUUUACUCUUUGUUCGAUUGAAUGAGAAAAAGUACUCUUUGCAAAGUUAUACUGUUAGGGCACAAUUGAGUAGUCUAUUUUUGUUCCGGUUUUGGUUCUUGUGAAGGUUGACAUCGAUUCGUUCCAAAUUUACACUCUCGGGGCAUAAUAGAACAAUAUAAUUAGCUUUCGCUCUUUGUUCGAUUGAAUGAGAAAAAGUACUCGUCGCAAAGCUAUAUUGUUAGGGCGGAACUGAGUAGUCAUUUUUUGUUCCGGUUUUGGUUCUUGUGAAGGUUGACAUCGAUUUGUUCCAUAUUUACACUCUCGCGGUAUAAUAGAAUAAUAUAAUUAGCUUUUACUCUUUGUUCGAUUGAAUGUGAAAAUGUAUUCGUUGCAAAGUUAUACUGUUAGGGCGCAACUGAGUAGUCUAUUUUUGUUCCGGUUUUGGUUCUUGUGAAGGUUGACAUCGAUUCGUUCCAAAUUUACACUCUCAGGACAAAAUAGAACAAUAUAAUUAGAUUUUACUCUUUGUUCGAUUAAAUGAGAAAUAGUACUCGUUGCAAAGUUAUGCUGUUAGAGCGCAUCUGAGUAGUCUAUUUUUGUUACUGUUUUGGUUCUUUUAUAGGUUGACGUCAAUUCGUUCCAUAUUUACACUCUCGGGGUAUAAUAGAACAAUAUAAUUAGCUUUUACCCUUUGUUCGAUUGAAUGAAAAAAAGUACUCGUUGCAAAGUUAUACUGUUAGGGCGCAACUGAGUAGUCUAUUUUUGUUCCGGUUUUCGUUCUUGUGAAUGUUGAUAUCGAUUCGUUCCAAAUUUACACUCUCGGGGCACAAUAGAACAAUAUAAUUAGCUUUAACUCUUUAUUCGAUUAAAUGAGAAAAAGUACUCGUUGCAAAGUUAUACUGUUAGGGCGCAACUGAGUAGUCUUUUUUUGUUCCGGUUUUGGUUCUUUUAAAGUUUGACAUCAAUUCGUUCCAUAUUUACACUCUCGGUGUAUAAUAGAACAAUAUAAUUAGCUUUUACUCUUUGUUCGAUUGAAUGAGAAAAAGUACUCGUCGCAAAGUUAUAUUGUUAGGGCGAAACUGAGUAGUGUUUUUUUGUUCCGGUUUUGAUUCUUGUGAAGGUUGACAUCGAUUCGUUCUAAAUUUACACUCUCUGGACACAAUAGAACAAUAUAAUUAGCUUUUACUCUUUGUUCGAUUAAAUGAGAAAUAGUACUCGUUGCAAAGUUAUACUGUUAGGGCACAACUGAUUAGUCUAUUUUUGUUCCGGUUUUGGUUCUUAUGAAUGUUGACAUCGAUUCGUUCCAAAUUUACACUCUCAGUACGCAACGAUAUACUGUUAGGGCGCAACUGAGUAGUGUAUUUUUGUUCCAGUUUUGGUUCUUGUGAAGGUUGACAUCGAUUCGUUCCAAAUUGACAUUCUCUGGGCAUAAUUAGAACAAUAUAAUUUGCUUUUACUCUUUGUUCGAUUGAAUGAGAAAAAGUACUGGUCGCAAAGUUAUAUUGUUAGGGCGGAACUGAGUAGUCUUUUUUUGUUCCGGUUUUGGUUCUUGUGAAGGUUGACCUCGAUUCGUUCCAAAUUUACACUCUCCGGACACAAUAGAACAAUAUAAUUAGCUUUUACUCUCUGUUCGAUUAAAUGAGAAAUAGUACUCGUUGCAAUAUUAUACUGUUAGGGCGCAUCUGAGUAGUCUCCUUUUGUUCCGGUUUUGGUGUUUUUGAAGGUUGAUAUCCAUUCGUACCAUAUUUACACUCUCGCGGUAUAAUAGAACAAUAUAAUUAGAUUUUACUCUUUGUUCGAUUGAAUAAGAAAAAGUACUCGUUGCAAAGUUAUACUGUUAGGGCGCAACUGAGUAGUCUAUUUUUGUUCCAGUUUUGGUUCUUGUGAAUGUUGACAUCGAUUCGUUCCAAAUUUACACUCUCGGGACACAAUAGAACAAUAUAAUUAGCUUUAACUCUUUAUUGUAUUAAAUGAGAAAAAGUACUCGUUGCAAAGUUAUACUGUUGGGGUGCAACUGAGUAGUCUUUUUUUGUUCCGGUUUUGGUUCUUUUAAAGGUUGACAUCAAUUCGUUCCAUAUUUACACUCUCGGGGUAUAAUAGAACAAUAUAAUUAGCUUUUACUCUUUGUUCGAUUGAAUGAUAAAAAGUACUCGUUACAAAGUUAUACAGUUAGGGCGUAACUGAGUAGUCUACAUUUGUUCCGGUUUAGGUUCUUUUGAAAGUUGACAUCCAUUCGUUCUAUAUUUACACUCUCGCGGUAUAAUAGAAUAUUAUAAUUAGAUUUUACUCUUUGUUCGAUUGAAUAAGAAAAAGUACUCGUUGCAAAGUUAUACUGUUAGGGCACAAUUGAGUAGUCUAUCUUUGUUCCGGUUUUGGUUCUUGUGUAGGUUGACAUCGAUUCGUUCCAAAUUUACACUCUCAGGACACAAUAGAACAAUAUAAUUAGCUUUUCUCUUUAUUGGAUUAAAUGAGAAAAAGUACUCGUUGCAAAGUUAUACUGUUAGGGCGCAACUGAGUAGUCUUUUUUUGUUCCGGUUUUUGUUCUUUUAAAGGUUGACAUCAAUUCGUUCCAUAUUUACACUCUCGGGGUAUAAUAGAACAAUAUAAUUCGCUUUUACUUUUUGUUCGAUUUAAUAAUAAAAAGUACUCGUUACAAAGUUAUACAGUUAGCGCGUAACUGAGUAGUCUACUUUUGUUCCGGUUUAGGUUCUUUCGAAGGUUGACAUCCAUUCGUUCCAUAUUUACACUCUCGAGGUAUAAUAGAACAAUAUAAAUAGGUUUUUCUCUUUUGUUCGAUAGAUUGAGAAAAAGUACUCGUCGCAAAGUUAUACUGUUAGGACGUAACUGAGUAUUCUAAUGUUGUUCCGAUUUUUGUUCUUGUGAUUGACAUCAAUUCGUUCCAUAUUUACACUCUCGGGGUAUAAUAGAACAAUAUAAUUAGCUUUUACUCUUCGUUCGAUUGAAUGAUAAAAAGUACUCGUUGCAAAGUUAUACUGUUAGGGCGCAACUGAGUAGUCUACUUUUGUUCGGUUUAGGUUCUUUUGAAGGUUGACAUCCAUUCGUACCAUAUUUACACUCUCGCGGUAUAAUAGAACAAUAUAAUUAGAUUUUACUCUUUGUUCGAUUGAAUAAAAAAAAGUACUCGUUCCAAAGUUAUAUUGUUUGGGCGCAACUGAGUAGUCUAUUUUUGUUCCGGUUUUGAUUCUUGUGAAGGUUGACAUCGAUUCGUUCCAAAUUUACACUCUCGGGGCACAAUAGAACAUUAUAAUUAGCUUUAACUCUUUAUUGGAUUAAAUGAGAAAAAGUACUCGUUGCAAAGUUAUACUGUUAGGGCUCAACUGAGUAGUCUAUUUUUGUUCCGAUUAUUGUUCUUUUAAUGGUUGACAUCAAUUCGUUCCAUAUUUACACUCUCGGGUUAUAAUAGAACAAUAUAAUUCGCUUUUACUCUUUGUUCGAUUGAAUGAUAAAAAGUACUCGUUACAAAGAUAUACAGUUAGGGUGUAACUGAGUAGUCUACUUUUGUUCCGGUUUAGGUUCUUUUGAAGGUUGACAUCCAUUCGUUCUAUAUUUACACUCUCGGGGUAUAAUAGAACAUUAUAAUUAGAUUUUACUCUUUGUUCGAUUGAAAGAUAAAAAGUACUCGUCGUAAAGUUACAUUGUUAGGGCGGAACUGAGUAGUCAUUUUUUGUUCCUUUUUUGGUUCUUGUGAAGGUUGACCUCGAUUCGUUCCAAAUUUACACUCUCGGGGCACAAUAGAACAAUAUAAUUAGCUUUUACUCUUUGUUCGAUUAAAUGAGAAAAAGUACUCGUUGCAAAGUUUUACUGUUAGGGCGCAACUGAGUAGUCUUUUUUUGUUCCGGUUUUGGUUCUUUUGAAGGUUGACAUCCAUUCGUUCCAUAUUUACACUCUCGCGAUAUAAUAGAACAAUAUAAUUAGCUAUUACUCUUUGUUCGAUUGAAUGAGAAAAAGUACUCGUUGCAAGUUAUCCUGUUAGGGCGCAACUGAGUAGUCUAUUUUUGUUCCAGUUUUGGUUCUUGUGAAGUUUGACAUCGAUUCGUUCCAAAUUUACACUCUCGGGGCAUAAUAGAACAAUAUAAUUUGCUUUUACUCUUUGUUCGAUUGAAUGAGAAAAAGUACUGGUCGCAAAGUUAUAUUGUUAGGGCGGAACUGAGUAGUCUUUUUUUGUUCCGGUUUUGGUUCUUGUGAAGGUUGACCUCGAUUCGUUCCAAAUUUACACUCUCCGGACACAAUAGAACAAUAUAAUUAGCUUUUACUCUCUGUUCGAUUAAAUGAGAAAUAGUACUCGUUGCAAUAUUAUACUGUUAGGGCGCAUCUGAGUAGUCUCCUUUUGUUCCGGUUUUGGUGUUUUUGAAGGUUGAUAUCCAUUCGUACCAUAUUUACACUCUCGCGGUAUAAUAGAACAAUAUAAUUAGAUUUUACUCUUUGUUCGAUUGAAUAAGAAAAAGUACUCGUUGCAAAGUUAUACUGUUAGGGCGCAACUGAGUAGUCUAUUUUUGUUCCAGUUUUGGUUCUUGUGAAUGUUGACAUCGAUUCGUUCCAAAUUUACACUCUCGGGACACAAUAGAACAAUAUAAUUAGCUUUAACUCUUUAUUGUAUUAAAUGAGAAAAAGUACUCGUUGCAAAGUUAUACUGUUGGGGUGCAACUGAGUAGUCUUUUUUUGUUCCGGUUUUGGUUCUUUUAAAGGUUGACAUCAAUUCGUUCCAUAUUUACACUCUCGGGGUAUAAUAGAACAAUAUAAUUAGCUUUUACUCUUUGUUCGAUUGAAUGAUAAAAAGUACUCGUUACAAAGUUAUACAGUUAGGGCGUAACUGAGUAGUCUACAUUUGUUCCGGUUUAGGUUCUUUUGAAAGUUGACAUCCAUUCGUACCAUAUUUACACUCUCGCGGUAUAUUAGAACAAUAUAAUUCGAUUUUACUCUUUGUUCGAUUGAAUAAAAAAAAGUACUCGUUCCAAAGUUAUACUGUUUGGGCGCAACUGAGUAGUCUAUUUUUUUUCCGGUUUUGGUUCUUGUGAAUGUUGACAUCGAUUAGUUCCAAAUUUACACUCUCGGGGCACAAUAGAACAAUAUAAUUAGAUUUAACUCUUUAUUGGAUUAAAUGAGAAAAAGUACUCGUUGCAAAGUUAUACUGUUAGGGCGCAACUGAGUAGUCUUUUUUUGUUCCGGUUUUUGUUCUUUUAAAGGUUGACAUCAAUUCGUUCCAUAUUUACACUCUCGGGGUAUAAUAGAACAAUAUAAUUCGCUUUUACUUUUUGUUCGAUUUAAUAAUAAAAAGUACUCGUUACAAAGUUAUACAGUUAGCGCGUAACUGAGUAGUCUACUUUUGUUCCGGUUUAGGUUCUUUCGAAGGUUGACAUCCAUUCGUUCCAUAUUUACACUCUCGCGGUAUAAUAGAAUAAUAUAAUUAGAUUUUACUCUUUGUUCGAUUGAAUGAGAAAAAGUACUCGUUGCAAAGUUAUAUUGUUAGGGCGGAACUGAGUAGUCUUUUUUUGUUCCGUUUUUUGUUCUUGUGAAGGUUGAUAUCGAUUCGUUCCAAAUUUACACUCUCAGGACACAAUAGAAAAAUAUAAUUAGCUUUUACACUUUGUUCGAUUGAAUGAGAAAAAGUACUCGUUGCAAAGUUAUACUGUUAGGACGCAACUGAGUAGUCUUUUUUGUUCCGGUUAUUGUUCUUUUAAAGGUUGACAUCAAUUCGUUGCAUAUUUACACUCUCGGGGUAUAAUAGAAUAAUAUAAUUAUCUUUUACUCUUUGUUCGAUUGAAUGAUAAAAAGUACUCGUUGCAAGUUAUACUGUUAGGGCGCAACUGAGUAGUCUAUUUUUGUUCCGGUUUUCGUUCUUGUGAAUGUUGAUAUCGAUUCGUUCCAAAUUUACACUCUCGGGGCACAAUAGAACAAUAUAAUUAGCUUUAACUCUUUAUUCGAUUAAAUGAGAAAAAGUACUCGUUGCAAAGUUAUACUGUUAGGGCGCAACUGAGUAGUCUUUUUUUGUUCCGGUUUUGGUUCUUUUAAAGUUUGACAUCAAUUCGUUCCAUAUUUACACUCUCGGUGUAUAAUAGAACAAUAUAAUUAGCUUUUACUGUUUGUUCGAUUGAAUGAUAAAAAUUACUCGUUACAAAGUUAUACAGUUAGGGCGUAACUGAGUAGUCUACUUUUGUUCCGGUUUUGGUGUGUUUGAAGGUUGACAUCCAUUCGUACCAUAUUUACACUCUCGCGGUAUAAUAGAACAAUAUAAUUAGAUUUUACUCUUUGUUCGAUUGAAUAAGAAAAAGUACUCGUUCCAAAGUUAUACUGUUUGGGCGCAACUGAGUAGUCUAUUUUUGUUCCGGUUUUGGUUCUUGUGAAUGUUGAGAUCGAUUCGUUCCAUAUUUACACUCUCUGGGCAUAAUAGAACAAUAUAAUUAGCUUUAACUCUUUAUUGGAUUAAAUGAGAAAAAGUACUCGUUGCAAUGUUAUACUGUUAGGGCGCAACUGAGUAGUCUUUUUUUGUUCCGAUUUUGGUUCUUUUAUAGGUUGACAUCAAUUCGUUCCAUAUUUACACUCGCGGGGUAUAAUUGAACAAUAUAAUUAGCUUUUACUCUUUGUUCGAUUCA
This 7834-nucleotide long non-coding RNA is filed under the name Ananas comosus (pineapple). Its description in RNAcentral is "long non-coding RNA (ACOM_LNC039212)". The record is from RNAcentral. Lineage: Eukaryota; Viridiplantae; Streptophyta; Magnoliopsida; Poales; Bromeliaceae.